UAAAAAAUUCCCAGGAGAUUCUGAUGACUAAUAAGGUUUAGAAAUCACUUUUGUAAAACUAUUUUCCUGCCUGAAAGUCUAAAAUUUAAAAAUAUAUCCAUAUUAUCUCAAUGGGGGCAUAAAAAGAGAUGGAUAGGGAAAUCAUGAGCUACCUUGACUUUCUGGAAGAAAAAAUGCUUCUAUGAAACUAUCAAAACUACGUGAACCUUCUUAUGUGCAUCUUUAAAAAAAUUUUUUUGUAGUUGUAGAUGGACAGAAUGCCUUUAUUUUAUUUAUUUUUAUGUGGGACUGAGGAUUGAACCCAGUGCCUUACACAUGCUAGCUGCAGCUCCAGCCCUCUUAUGUGCCUCUUAAAACUUAAGUCUUAAUUUCUUUUCUGUGAAAAUUUUCAUGAGGUCAGAGAGCAAAACCUACUAGUCCUUUGUUCUGUUGCUUUGUACCACUCCUAUUCCCAAAUACUUAGCCAGGCUACACUUUUAAUUUUUUUUUUAUUAGAGCUUUAUCAUAAUACAUCAUAAUUGGGUUCAUUUCUAAUUUUUUUAAAUUAGAAUGAUUAGGCACAUUUGAAACUUCUUCUCAUUCUCCUUAGUUUCUGUUAUGCAAGGCCUGUGAAUACCUACUUCUUUAAGAUGCAACUUUUGAGCAUUCCAAGAGAGACAAUAUGAGGCUAAUAGGCCCUAAGGACUGUGAGCUGGUAGCUGAGAAUGUCUGUUAGAGGUACAGUA
This 725-nucleotide long non-coding RNA is filed under the name Marmota monax (woodchuck). Lineage: Eukaryota; Metazoa; Chordata; Mammalia; Rodentia; Sciuridae. The record is from RNAcentral.